Molecule: ribosomal RNA, 460 nt
Filed under: uncultured bacterium
Lineage: Bacteria
Description: bacterial SSU rRNA
Rfam family: Bacterial small subunit ribosomal RNA
Source: RNAcentral
CGGCGUGCCUAACACAUGCAAGUCGAGCGAGGAGAUCCUUCGGGAUGAUCCUAGCGGCGGACGGGUGAGUAACACGUGGGCAACCUGCCUCAUAGAGAGGAAUAGCCUUCCGAAAGGGAGAUUAAUACCUCAUAACAUUGCAGUUUCGCAUGGAACAGCAAUUAAAGGAGUAAUCCGCUAUGAGAUGGGCCCGCGGCGCAUUAGCUAGUUGGUGAGGUAACGGCUCACCAAGGCGACGAUGCGUAGCCGACCUGAGAGGGUGAUCGGCCACAUUGGGACUGAGACACGGCCCAGACUCCUACGGGAGGCAGCAGUGGGGAAUAUUGCACAAUGGGGGAAACCCUGAUGCAGCAACGCCGCGUGAGUGAUGACGGCCUUCGGGUUGUAAAGCUCUGUCUUCAGGGACGAUAAUGACGGUACCUGAGGAGGAAGCCACGGCUAACUACGUGCCAGCCGCCGC